RNAcentral lists this ribosomal RNA (497 nucleotides) under uncultured bacterium. RNAcentral describes it as "partial 16S ribosomal RNA". It matches the Rfam family "Bacterial small subunit ribosomal RNA", at positions 28 to 507 of the family's 1533-position model. The record is from RNAcentral.
GAUGAACGCUGGCGGCGUGCCUAAUACAUGCAAGUCGAGCGAACGGACGAGAAGCUUGCUUCUCUGAUGUUAGCGGCGGACGGGUGAGUAACACGUGGAUAACCUACCUAUAAGACUGGGAUAACUUCGAGAAACCGGAGCUAAUACCGGAUAAUAUUUUGAACCGCAUGGUUCAAAAGUGAAAGACGGUCUUGCUGUCACUUAUAGAUAGAUCCGCGCUGCAUUAGCUAGUUGGUAAGGUAACGGCUUACCAAGGCAACGAUGCAUAGCCGACCUGAGAGGGUGAUAGGCCACACGAGAACGUAGACACGGACCAGGCUCCUACGGGAGGCAGCAGUAGCGAAUCUGCCGCAAUGGGCGAAAGCCUGACGGAGCAACGCCGCGUGAGUGAUGAAGGUCUUCGGAGCGUAAAACUCUGUUAUUAGGUAAGAACAUAUGUGUAAGUAACUGUGCACAUCGUGACGGUACCUAAUCAGAAAGCCACGGCUAACUACGUG